This 301-nucleotide ribosomal RNA is filed under the name uncultured bacterium. RNAcentral describes it as "partial 16S ribosomal RNA". It matches the Rfam family "Bacterial small subunit ribosomal RNA", at positions 509 to 807 of the family's 1533-position model. The record is from RNAcentral.
CAGUAGCCGCGGUAAUACGGAGGGUGCAAGCGUUAAUCGGAAUUACUGGGCGUAAAGCGCACGCAGGCGGUCUGACAAGUCAGAUGUGAAAUCCCCGGGCUUAACCUGGGAACUGCAUUUGAAACUGUCAGGCUGGAGUCUUGUAGAGGGGGGUGGAAUUCCAGGUGUAGCGGUGAAAUGCGUAGAGAUCUGGAGGAAUACCGGUGGCGAAGGCGGCCCCCUGGACAAAGACUGACGCUCAGGUGCGAAAGCGUGGGGAGCAAACAGGAUUAGAGACCCCGGUAGUCCCUGUCUCUUAUAC